Molecule: ribosomal RNA, 253 nt
Filed under: uncultured bacterium
Lineage: Bacteria
Description: partial 16S ribosomal RNA
Rfam family: Bacterial small subunit ribosomal RNA
Source: RNAcentral
UACAGAGGUCCCAAGCGUUGUUCGGAUUCAUUGGGCGUAAAGGGUGCGUAGGUGGCGUCGUAAGUCGGGUGUGAAAUCUCGGAGCUUAACUCCGAAACUGCAUUCGAUACUGCGGUGCUUGAGGACUGGAGAGGAGACUGGAAUUUACGGUGUAGCAGUGAAAUGCGUAGAGAUCGUAAGGAAGACCAGUGGCGAAGGCGGGUCUCUGGACAGUUCCUGACACUGAGGCACGAAGGCCAGGGGAGCAAACGGG